UCGACGGUCCAGCACUCAAUGCAAAUUGAGUGCUGGAUAGUGGCGGACGGGUGAGUAACGCGUGGGUAACCUACCCAUAAACUCGGGACAACCCUUGGAAACGAGGGCUAAUACCGAAUAAUCUUAAAGUGCGGCAUCGCAAUUUAAGGAAAGGUGGCCUCUGAACAUGCUACCGAUUAUGGAUGGACCCGCGUCUGAUUAGCUAGUUGGUGGGGUAAAGGCCUACCAAGGCAACGAUCAGUAGCCGGCCUGAGAGGGUGAACGGCCACACUGGGACUGAGACACGGCCCAGACUCCUACGGGAGGCAGCAGUGGGGAAUCUUCCGCAAUGGACGAAAGUCUGACGGAGCAACGCCGCGUGUAUGAUGAAGGUCUUCGGAUUGUAAAGUACUGUCUUUGGGGAAGAAUGGUGUAUUUGAAAAUAUUGAAUACAAAUGACGGUACCCAAAGAGGAAGCCCCGGCUAACUACGUGCCAGCAGCCGCGGUAAUACGUAGGGGGCAAGCGUUGUCCGGAAUUAUUGGGCGUAAAGGGCGCGUAGGCGGAUAGUUAAGUCCGGUGUGAAAGAUCAGGGCUCAACCCUGAGAGUGCAUCGGAAACUGGUUAUCUUGAGGACAGGAGAGGAAAGUGGAAUUCCACGUGUAGCGGUGAAAUGCGUAGAUAUGUGGAGGAACACCAGUGGCGAAGGCGACUUUCUGGACUGUAACUGACGCUGAGGCGCGAAAGCGUGGGGAGCAAACAGGAUUAGAUACCCUGGUAGUCCACGCUGUAAACGAUGAGUGCUAGGUGUAGGAGGUAUCGACCCCCCCUGUGCCGCAGUUAACACAAUAAGCACUC
This 836-nucleotide ribosomal RNA is filed under the name uncultured bacterium. RNAcentral describes it as "bacterial SSU rRNA". It matches the Rfam family "Bacterial small subunit ribosomal RNA", at positions 62 to 869 of the family's 1533-position model. The record is from RNAcentral.